Molecule: ribosomal RNA, 590 nt
Filed under: uncultured bacterium
Lineage: Bacteria
Description: partial 16S ribosomal RNA
Rfam family: Bacterial small subunit ribosomal RNA
Source: RNAcentral
UGGGGAAUUUUGGACAAUGGGCGAAAGCCUGAUCCAGCAAUGCCGCGUGUGUGAAGAAGGCCUUCGGGUUGUAAAGCACUUUUGUCCGGAAAGAAAUCCUUGGCUCUAAUACAGUCGGGGGAUGACGGUACCGGAAGAAUAAGCACCGGCUAACUACGUGCCAGCAGCCGCGGUAAUACGUAGGGUGCAAGCGUUAAUCGGAAUUACUGGGCGUAAAGCGUGCGCAGGCGGUUUGCUAAGACCGAUGUGAAAUCCCCGGGCUCAACCUGGGAACUGCAUUGGUGACUGGCAGGCUAGAGUAUGGCAGAGGGGGGUAGAAUUCCACGUGUAGCAGUGAAAUGCGUAGAGAUGUGGAGAAUACCGAUGGCGAAGGCAGCCCCCUGGGCCAAAUACUGACGCUCAUGCACGAAAAGCGUGGGGAGCAAAACAGGAUUAGAUACCCUGGUAGUCCACGCCCUAAAACGAUGUCAACUAGUUGUUGGGGAUUCAUUUCCUUAGUAACGUAGCUAACGCGUGAAGUUGACCGCCUGGGGAGUACGGUCGCAAAGAUUAAAAACUCAAAGGAAUUGACGGGGUCAUAGCUGUUUCCU